This is a long non-coding RNA of Amphiprion ocellaris (clown anemonefish), 1688 nucleotides long. RefSeq lists it as uncharacterized. NCBI's taxonomy places the organism in Eukaryota, Metazoa, Chordata, Actinopteri, Pomacentridae. The transcript is spliced from 3 exons. The record is from RefSeq and is a predicted model, not a curated record.
UUUUACAGUGUAAAUAGGUAUUUUAAAUGAAAUAAAAAUUUAAAAUAUGAAAUAAGUUAAAGUUUUGUGAUUGAAAUACAUCUCAGUGCUGCAGCACUUUGUUUUCAGUCUAAUGUUCUAAAGAAUUACAUCCACAUUAAAUGUUUCCAGAGGCCAUGACUUUGCAUCCAAAGCUACUACUGAGUGCCAAUGCAGUUUGGUCUUCAUGCUGAGGGAUGAAUAAGUAACUGCAUCCACACUUUCACCUUUCUCCCUCUCUUUUUUUGCAGAAACUUCAGUUUUCUUCGCCCUAACCAGCUGCCAUGCACAGGAAAUGCACAUUAGAACACACUGGCAGUUUAUAUGGACAGUAAAUACCAUCCAGAAUUUUGCUGAAUCAUGCAAUAUCAAUGCUUCUGACAAGAUUUAAAACAGAAAUUAGGUGAAACCAUUGGGAUAUUAUUAAUCUCGAUGGCUUAACUUAGUAUAUUUGCACAAUAAAGAGUAAAAAUACACUGAAUCACAGGGUUGUAGACACAUUUUCUAGGUUCUGGACGUUUGUCAAAUGCAAAAAAGUGACUUUAUUGUUCAGAAAUAAAGUUAUUUUUUAAUACAUUUUAAAAGUACAAACAAUUCUGAGCCAAUAUUCACUCUAAAAAUGAUCAAAAAUGAAGAUAACACCUUACUUUCAUGCAUGCGUGGACAGUUUCUUAGCAUCUUUAACAACAGAACAGUCUGAUGAAGCACAAAAUGAAAAACUGAGGUCAGAGAGAGCCGCCAACAGUUCUUCUAAAAGUUUAAACUGCUUACAGUAACAGACGCAUUCCUCCUAUAAAAUCUUCCUGAAACAAUACCCUCAACCUUUCAUCAGAUGCGUCGCCUGCGUCAGAAACUAUUUCGCCUUUAAGCCACUCUUCUUCUUCUAUCUGCUCCGCCUGUGGAUCUGCUUUAUCAAUUCUCUUUUUAAACAUCAGCUUUUCAGAAAGCCGUCGGAGGGCAGUUUGAAUAUUUUGAAGUCUUUUUUUUUUUUAUUAUUAUUUAAAGACAGGCCUGAAGCAUCAUCUGCAAUUACACUACUGGAAUGUUUGCAUAUUCAAUAUUCAGAAGGAAAAAAAAGAAAGAACCUGCUGGAUGUGGCUUAAUUUAAGCAGCCUCAUAGGCGACAUGCAAACUCCUCAACAAUGUGCUGCAGAGAGAUACCUUAUUAGGCUUAUUAUCAUUAUUCCUCCUGAUCAGUCUCCUCCACCAGAUUGUUGUCCUUCACCUAACUUUCCUCUUUAUCGUGUAGACACAGACCGAACGCUCUCCACGGACGCCCGUGGCUCUCUGCUUGUGGAAGGAAAAGUUGUGGAAAAAUGUGAAAAAAACUGCGACCACUGAUGCCAGGACAGACUGAGGGAGCUGACAGAUGUGGUGUCGAACCGAAAGGCAAAGAUUGUGUUGAAUUAAUGAGGCCCGGUGAAGAAGAGUGAAAGCCUGCAGUUUACCGGAGACCUGAAUAAAGGCGACAGCCAGGAAGGCCAGCCCUGAGCUUUAUAGACGGCUGCUUUGAUCAGAAAAGGCUGCUUCACCUUCAUCUCCUCCUGGACGAUGCUGAUGAUGCUGGAGACGGAGAAGAAGGAGGGGAAAUGGAGCAGAUGGAGUCCCAGUGGCCACCCAGUCCCGGAUUAUUCAGCUCAGCCAAGGGAAUGGAAAGGCGGAGGGGGCCC